This 513-nucleotide ribosomal RNA is filed under the name uncultured bacterium. RNAcentral's name for it is "partial 16S ribosomal RNA". It matches the Rfam family "Bacterial small subunit ribosomal RNA", at positions 28 to 523 of the family's 1533-position model. The record is from RNAcentral.
GAUGAACGCUGGCGGCGUGCCUAAUACAUGCAAGUCGAGCGAACAGACGAGGAGCUUGCUCCUUUGACGUUAGCGGCGGACGGGUGAGUAACACGUAGGUAACCUACCUAUAAGACUGGGAUAACUUCGGGAAACCGGAGCUAAUACCGGAUAAUAUUUCGAACCGCAUGGUUCGAUAGUGAAAGAUGGCUUUGCUAUCACUUAUAGAUGGACCUGCGCCGUAUUAGCUAGUUGGUAAGGUAACGGCUUACCAAGGCAACGAUACGUAGCCGACCUGGGAGGGUGAUCGGCAACACUGGAACUGAGACACGGUCCAGACUCCUACGGGAGGCAGCAGUAGGGAAUCUUCCGCAAUGGGCGAAAGCCUGACGGAGCAACGCCGCGUGAGUGAUGAAGGUCUUCGGAUCGUAAAACUCUGUUAUUAGGGAAGAACAAACGUGUAAGUAACUGUGCACGUCUUGACGGUACCUGACCAGAAAGCCACGGCUAACUACGUGCCAGCAGCCGCCGUAA